RNAcentral lists this transfer RNA (75 nucleotides) under Chitinophaga japonensis. RNAcentral's name for it is "tRNA-Pro". It matches the Rfam family "tRNA". Rfam says of the family: Transfer RNA (tRNA) molecules are approximately 80 nucleotides in length. Their secondary structure includes four short double-helical elements and three loops (D, anti-codon, and T loops). Lineage: Bacteria; Pseudomonadati; Bacteroidota; Chitinophagia; Chitinophagales; Chitinophagaceae. The record is from RNAcentral. RNAcentral also lists the same sequence under 7 other names.
CGGGAUGUAGCGCAGCCCGGUAGCGCGCUUCGUUCGGGACGAAGAGGCCGCUGGUUCGAAUCCAGUCAUCCCGAC